CAGUCGCCACGGGAAUACGAAGGGUGCAAGCGUUACUCGGAAUUACUGGGCGUAAAGCGUGCGUAGGUGGUGGUUUAAGUCCGUUGUGAAAGCCCUGGGCUCAACCUGGGAAUUGCAGUGGAUACUGGGUCACUAGAGUGUGGUAGAGGAUAGUGGAAUUUCCGGUGUAGCAGUGAAAUGCGUAGAGAUCGGAAGGAACAUCUGUAGCGAAGGCGACUAUCUGGGCCAACACUGACACUGAGGCACGAAAGCGUGGGGAGCAAACAGGAUUAGAUACCCCAGUAGUCCCUGUCUCUUAUAA
This 301-nucleotide ribosomal RNA is filed under the name uncultured bacterium. RNAcentral's name for it is "partial 16S ribosomal RNA". It matches the Rfam family "Bacterial small subunit ribosomal RNA", at positions 509 to 809 of the family's 1533-position model. The record is from RNAcentral.